CCCUGCACUCUGGGACAAGCCCUGGAAACGGGGUCUAAUACCGGAUACUGACCCUCGCAGGCAUCUGCGAGGUUCGAAAGCUCCGGCGGUGCAGGAUGAGCCCGCGGCCUAUCAGCUUGUUGGUGAGGUAAUGGCUCACCAAGGCGACGACGGGUAGCCGGCCUGAGAGGGCGACCGGCCACACUGGGACUGAGACACGGCCCAGACUCCUACGGGAGGCAGCAGUGGGGAAUAUUGCACAAUGGGCGAAAGCCUGAUGCAGCGACGCCGCGUGAGGGAUGACGGCCUUCGGGUUGUAAACCUCUUUCAGCAGGGAAGAAGCGAAAGUGACGGUACCUGCAGAAGAAGCGCCGGCUAACUACGUGCCAGCAGCCGCGGUAAUACGUAGGGCGCAAGCGUUGUCCGGAAUUAUUGGGCGUAAAGAGCUCGUAGGCGGCUUGUCGCGUCGGUUGUGAAAGCCCGGGGCUUAACCCCGGGUCUGCAGUCGAUACGGGCAGGCUAGAGUUCGGUAGGGGAGAUCGGAAUUCCUGGUGUAGCGGUGAAAUGCGCAGAUAUCAGGAGGAACACCGGUGGCGAAGGCGGAUCUCUGGGCCGAUACUGACGCUGAGGAGCGAAAGCGUGGGGAGCGAA
RNAcentral lists this ribosomal RNA (630 nucleotides) under Streptomyces sp. LKB1-11. Its description in RNAcentral is "bacterial SSU rRNA". It matches the Rfam family "Bacterial small subunit ribosomal RNA", at positions 129 to 772 of the family's 1533-position model. The record is from RNAcentral. Lineage: Bacteria; Bacillati; Actinomycetota; Actinomycetes; Kitasatosporales; Streptomycetaceae.